RNAcentral lists this transfer RNA (84 nucleotides) under Verrucomicrobiota bacterium. RNAcentral describes it as "Verrucomicrobia bacterium (rhizosphere metagenome) tRNA-Leu". It matches the Rfam family "tRNA". Rfam says of the family: Transfer RNA (tRNA) molecules are approximately 80 nucleotides in length. The record is from RNAcentral. Lineage: Bacteria; Pseudomonadati; Verrucomicrobiota.
GCCGACGUGGCGGAACUGGCAGACGCGCCGGACUCAAAAUCCGGUGACCGCAAGGUCGUGUGGGUUCGACCCCCUCCGUCGGCA